AUGAACGCUGGCGGCGUGCCUAACACAUGCAAGUCGAACGGGAUCCUUGGAUUCGUCCGAGGUGAGAGUGGCGAACGGGUGAGUAACACGUAGGUGACCUGCCCCGAAGUGGGGAAUAACCAUUGGAAACGAUGGCUAAUACCCCAUAUGCUCCAUAGUUCGUUCUGUGGAGUAAAGUUCCGGCGCUUCGGGAGGGGCCUGCGGCCCAUCAGGUAGUUGGUAGGGUAAUGGCCUACCAAGCCUAUGACGGGUAGGGGGCGUGAGAGCGUGAUCCCCCACACUGGCACUGAGAUACGGGCCAGACUCCUACGGGAGGCAGCAGUGAGGAAUAUUGCCCAAUGGACGAAAGUCUGAGGCAGCAACGCCGCGUGGGUGAUGAAGGCCUUCGGGUUGUAAAACCCUUUUCCGGGGGACGAGUAAGGACGGUACCCCAGGAAUAAGUCACGGCUCACUACGU
This 457-nucleotide ribosomal RNA is filed under the name uncultured bacterium. RNAcentral's name for it is "bacterial SSU rRNA". It matches the Rfam family "Bacterial small subunit ribosomal RNA", at positions 29 to 506 of the family's 1533-position model. The record is from RNAcentral.